CAGUCGCCGCGGUAAUACGGAGGGGGCUAGCGUUGUUCGGAAUUGCUGGGCGUAAAGCGUGCGUAGGCGGUUCGUUAAGUCUGUUGUGAAAGCCCCGGGCUCAACCUGGGAAUGGCAAUGGAUACUGGCGAGCUAGAGUGUGUCAGAGGAUGGUGGAAUUCCCGGUGUAGCGGUGAAAUGCGUAGAGAUCGGGAGGAACAUCAGUGGCGAAGGCGAGGUCCUGGACGUUUUCUGACGCUGAGACGCGAAAGCUAGGGGAGCGAACGGGAUUAGAUACCCCCGUAGUCCCUGUCUCUUAUAC
This 301-nucleotide ribosomal RNA is filed under the name uncultured bacterium. RNAcentral describes it as "partial 16S ribosomal RNA". It matches the Rfam family "Bacterial small subunit ribosomal RNA", at positions 509 to 807 of the family's 1533-position model. The record is from RNAcentral.